AGAGAGCGCGCGACGACACUACACUGAAUUGUGGGCGGGACCUUCCUAGGAGUGAGCGCGGGGCGCGCGCGACGACCGACCGGGCGAAUGAGCGUGCGUCGCGCCCUCCCAAAACAACAGCGCCACGCAGAGGCCGCAGGCACGACUUAUAGUGCAUUCUCUCCGGCGCCUCGAACAUCGCUGCCGCCGUGUAUCGUUUCACUAGAGACACAGACAGUAAGAGAGAUAGAAAUGAAAAGCGCGAGCGCCCCCAGGCGCCUUCAAGUACACAAACCACAUAGAGGCGA
Non-coding RNA from Caenorhabditis elegans, 287 nucleotides. The record is from Ensembl. Lineage: Eukaryota; Metazoa; Nematoda; Chromadorea; Rhabditida; Rhabditidae.